CACGUAGGGGGCGAGCGUUGUCCGGAUUUAUUGGGCGUAAAGAGCUCGUAGGCGGUUUGGCAAGUCGGGUGUGAAAUUUCGAGGCUCAACCUCGAAACGCCACUCGAUACUGCCAUGACUGGAGUCCGGUAGAGGAGUGCGGAAUUCCUGGUGUAGCGGUGAAAUGCGCAGAUAUCAGGAGGAACACCAACGGCGAAGGCAGCACUCUGGGCCGGUACUGACGCUGAGGCACGAAAGCGUGGGGAGCAAACAGG
RNAcentral lists this ribosomal RNA (254 nucleotides) under uncultured bacterium. RNAcentral's name for it is "partial 16S ribosomal RNA". It matches the Rfam family "Bacterial small subunit ribosomal RNA", at positions 524 to 776 of the family's 1533-position model. The record is from RNAcentral.